RNAcentral lists this long non-coding RNA (218 nucleotides) under Lathyrus oleraceus (garden pea). RNAcentral's name for it is "Pisum sativum (pea) long non-coding RNA (PSAT_LNC008189)". Lineage: Eukaryota; Viridiplantae; Streptophyta; Magnoliopsida; Fabales; Fabaceae. The record is from RNAcentral.
GUUUAUCCAUUCAAAUAACAAAAUUGUAAAUAACUUGUAUAUUCUUUUCUCAUCUCCCUAAUCAUGUUUGCACAAAUAUUUUCACAAAUACCAACCUACCUUACAACAUUGGUGAAAAGGGCUCCCUGAGAGUACUAAGGAUGUUUUGGGUGCUUAAAACCUAGCCAUUGCAUAACCAACCCCCUUACCCAGAUCUCUGUCAUUUUUAUUAGUUUUUG